AUAGCUUUGCAGGGGAGCUAAUGGUUUAGCUGAGAGGAAGUGAAGACUUCGACCCUUAACCUGAUUUGGAUAAUGCCAACGUAGGAAGACAAAUAAAAAUAAUGC
This 105-nucleotide non-coding RNA is filed under the name Loigolactobacillus rennini. Its description in RNAcentral is "Lactobacillus rennini TPP sequence". It matches the Rfam family "TPP riboswitch aptamer (THI element)". Rfam says of the family: Vitamin B(1) in its active form thiamin pyrophosphate (TPP) is an essential coenzyme that is synthesised by coupling of pyrimidine and thiazole moieties in bacteria. The record is from RNAcentral. Lineage: Bacteria; Bacillati; Bacillota; Bacilli; Lactobacillales; Lactobacillaceae. RNAcentral also lists the same sequence under 1 other name.